GCUUUCAGUUUCAGUUUCCCAGAAAGGAGGUGUCUGUGUGGUGAUGAGCAGGGCUUCAUCCAGUGCCCCUGUCCCCACCGAGGGGACUAUGGGAGCCAUGGAGGGUGCGUGAGCAGCAGGUGAGACUGGAGCCAGCUGAAAACUGGGAGACCGACCCAGCCAACAAACAAUGUCGGUCUCUGUCCUGGCACCCGCAGGAAACAAGCUCCUACUUCCAGAAAAAGUGCUCCUGGGACUCAAGGAUACCAAGCAUCUGGGUAAGGUACAACGCUUAACCACUUAACACAAUCAGGAAGCAACAGCCACGCAUUUGGGAAAGGAACUUCAGCGUUGUGUGGCUCAGUCUCCAGACCUAACUUUCCCUUUGGUACAGACGCAGUGGUAGAUGCCUGUAAUCCCAACACUUAGGCAGGAGGAUCACUCGAGCCCAGAAGAUCAAGACUAGCGUGAGCAACAAAAUCCUUCCCUGGCACCGGUUCCAGGAGGACCUGGUUCUUAGGCAGCAUCUGUAUCUCUGUUUUGUAAGACACACAGUAUCCUUAACCCACUGCAGAUAUUUCCCUGGUCCAUGGUCAACCAACACCACCUUUCAGUCUCCAGCCUCUUAACCAGCCCAGGGCUGAGUGUUGUUCAUAGUAUUAAUAUGUUGCUGGCUGGGCUCAGUGGCUCAUGCCUGUAAACCCGGCACUAUGGGAGGCUGAGGCAGGCGGAUCACUUGAGGUCAGGAGUUCAAGACAAGCCUGGCCAACAUAGUAAAACCGCGUCUCUACUAAAAAUACAAAAAUGAGCCGGGUGUGGUGGUGCGUGUCUAUAAUCCCAGCUACUCGGGAGGCUGAGGCAGGAGAAUUGCUUGAACCUGGGAGAUGGAGGCUACAGUGAGCUGAGAUCAUGCCACUGCACUCCAGCCUGGUCAAGAAAGUGAGACUCCGUCUCAAAACAAAGAAACAAACAAAGUAUUAAUAUGUUCCCCUUGAUCAGUGGGGUGGUUCACCCUUGUAAUCCCAGCACUUUGGGAGGCAGAAGCUGGCGGAUCGCUUGAGUCCAGGAGUUCGAGACCAGCCUGGGUGACCUAGCAAAACCCUGUCUGUACUAAAAAUACAAAAAUUAACUGGGCGUGGUGGUGCGAGCCUGUAAUCCCAGUGGAGGCUGAGACAGGAAAAUCCUUUUGUAAUGCCUAACCUUGUUUUCUUACUAACCCUAUUUUAACCUUGUUUUUACUAACCCUAUUUUUAAAUUUUCCCUUUUUGUCUCCUUAAUUACCUAGCCUUGUUUCCCAUAUGAAUAGACUCUCCCUUAGCUGGGAAAGCCUGACGAACUCCAUCUGGCCCCUUGAUUUACAAGACAUUAAGGGCUCCUUACCCAACUCCCUUCCUCAAGGAGUUAACCUGUGUAAGCAGAUCCUCAGCAUUUCAAAGGAGCCCAAUUAACUGAUAAGGUACUGGAACAAACAAUGUAUGAAGUUCCCAGGAUUUUGCUCAAAAACAUAACAACAUAAAGCCUUGAGUCUGUGUCCGGCAUAGCAUCCAUAUCUAACUCUUAUGAAGGAUUUAGAGCCCGGCACCUGGUUCCGUUGCUUUUUUUUGUAACCAUUUGUCUUUUAAAUUGUUUAUUUCUCUGUAACCAUUUGUUUUUCGAUUCUUGCAUGUUUUUACUUCUGUAGAUUUAUUGCAUUUGAGCUCCGCUCCCCUUCCGAAACCAAGGUAUAAAAGUAAAUCAAGCCCCUUCCUUGGGGCCGAGAGAAUUUUGGAGCGUCAAGCCCUCUCUUAGCUGCCGGCUUAAAUAAAGGACUCUUAAUUUGUCUCGAA
RNAcentral lists this long non-coding RNA (1805 nucleotides) under Pongo abelii (Sumatran orangutan). RNAcentral's name for it is "lincRNA". The record is from RNAcentral. Lineage: Eukaryota; Metazoa; Chordata; Mammalia; Primates; Hominidae.